Meriones unguiculatus (Mongolian gerbil) is the source of this 2094-nucleotide long non-coding RNA. RefSeq lists it as uncharacterized. NCBI's taxonomy places the organism in Eukaryota, Metazoa, Chordata, Mammalia, Rodentia, Muridae. The record is from RefSeq and is a predicted model, not a curated record. The transcript has 5 exons.
GUGUGCCCCUCCUGGGAUGCCUCCUGUGCUGGGCCCAGGACUUGCCUCACACACCCUCCCACGCACACACUUCCCCGCAGUGGGCACCCUAGCUGCGUGCCACCCGCUUGUGCCAUUCCCAGGGUGCUCCCCUCACACAGUCCCCUGCACAUAGUCUCCUGUAGUGUGCCCCUUCUCAGGGUGCCACCUGCCUGUGCCAGUCCCAGGAUAUGCUCCGCACACCCUCCCCCACACACAGUUUCCCGCACACAGUGUGCCCACUUGCAGGGUGCCACUGCCUGUGCCAGUCAAACAAGGCGCAUGUGCUGUCCAGAGCCCACACGGAGAAGGGAGAGAACAGAUUCUCAUAGUCGUUUACUGACCUAUAUACCAAAAACACAGCUUAACGAACUAAUAACAACCUGAAAUGAUUGUGAGUGUGUAAAGGCUCUUCUCACCGGCUGUGCUGGGGCCUCCACACAGCCAGGCUGGCAUCUGAGGAGGAGGAGGAGUCUCUCUGGAAGCUCUGCAGAUGGGUUGGCUCACCCGGGUAUCCCCUGUCUGCCCAGUUCUGCAGGCAUCUUGGGGUGAAGGCUCUGUAGGGAGUCUCCCUAUUUGUUUGUUUCCUUUGGGGUUGUGGGUUGGGAUGGAACCUGGAACUCCUGAAGGCCGAUUUCAAAAGCCAGGAAGGCUGUGGCUGCCCAGGCAGGCUGCUUUCAGAGGCCUUGUUGAGGACUGGUUGGCUUCAGCCAUGCUCCGGUCACUUUUGAGCUUGGAAGGAAAAAGUAGUUCUUUGUGUCUGCAUCUGCUGAGCCCUGUUCUGUCCCUACCAGCCCCAUGCUGAGGCUGUGGCCUUUUCUCCUUCCUCCCUCCUUCCCUGUCUUCCUCCUGCCGCCUUCCCCUCCCUCUCCUUCCCCCUUCCUCGCUCUCCUCUCUCCUGUAUCCCUCUCCCUCGCCUUUUCCUUACUUCUCCAUUCCUCUUCUCUCUCCCUCUACCUUCCCCUCCUUCCUCCUCCUUCUCCCUCCUCUUUCUCUCUCCCUUCCUCUCUCUCUCCAUCCCUCUCCCUCCCUCUCUCUUUCUCUCCCUCCUUUUCCCUCUCCCUCUCCUCUGCACCAGAUGGCUAUGAGCCACCGUGUGAGUCCUGGGACUCGAAUUCAAGACCUCUGGAAUAGCAGCCAGCACUCUCAACCUCUGACCCAUCCCUGCAGCCCCCUGACCUUGAACUUGUAGCCUUCUGGCCUCCACCUUCAGAUAGGUAGGUCUCCAUGCAAGCACCAGUAGCCAGUGUAUGUGUCUUUGGGGACCUGGCCAGGGCCUGAUGUAGUCUCGGGCCUACCCCCUGGGCCACAUCCCGGGUGAGUGAGCCCUCCCACUCUAGGACAGGGUCUUGUCGUGUGGCCCUGAGGAAUCUGGAGCCUAGUGCACCCCCAGCCAUCUUUCGGUGCGGGGCUUGGGGCAAUGGCCUCACUCCCUCCACCAACCUCAUGGUCUCGCUCUUCUUUUAGCCAGGUGUCCAUUUACAAGGUGGACCAGCAGGACAGUCGCAAAUUAUACACCACUGGCAUCAAUGGGGCCAUGAUGAUCUGGGAUUUCAAGGCAACCUGGAAGCCACCAUGGGUGUUAAUAUCCUGAUAGGAGCCACAGGAACCUGGAGGCCACCAUGGGUGUUGAUAUCCUCAUAGGAGCUACAGGUCAAUAGAGUGCGAUUUGUCCCUUUUGUUGGAGCAAGGAAAAUGGCUAUUUUGCUGGACCAGAACUUUUGCACAAAUUCUUGAUGAAUGCUAUUUUUGUUGACCUGGAGGCCAGCAUUGGUGGCUGAUAUCCUGAUAUCACAGGUUGAGACCUGUCCCAGGAGAAUCCAUAUUUACCCACAUGGAAGCCUAUGAGGAGUUCACCAACGAUGGAAUAUACUGGACCUUGCUAUGCCAAGGCUCCAGGAAACUCAGAAGAGACAGAACAAGGAAAAAAAAGAAAAACUACAUCUCUCCUUGUUUAAUGAUGUUUUGGUUGUGACUAAUAACCUAUGAGUAUGUCCCUCAUGCCUGCCAUAGUAUUAGAGGCUACACUUUGAUUAGGCUUUACUGUACAAAAAUAAAAUAGUUUUUUGUUCUGUU